GCCAGAGUGCUGAAAUUGGUAGACAGGCACGGCUUAGGACCGUGUGCCGCAAGGUGUGAGAGUUCGAGUCUCUCCUCUGGCACCC
RNAcentral lists this transfer RNA (85 nucleotides) under Candidatus Microgenomates bacterium. RNAcentral describes it as "tRNA-Leu". It matches the Rfam family "tRNA". Rfam says of the family: Transfer RNA (tRNA) molecules are approximately 80 nucleotides in length. Their secondary structure includes four short double-helical elements and three loops (D, anti-codon, and T loops). Further hydrogen bonds mediate the characteristic L-shaped molecular structure. tRNAs have two regions of fundamental functional importance: the anti-codon, which is responsible for specific mRNA codon recognition, and the 3' end, to which the tRNAs corresponding amino acid is attached (by aminoacyl-tRNA synthetases). tRNAs cope with the degeneracy of the genetic code in two manners: having more than one tRNA (with a specific anti-codon) for a particular amino acid; and 'wobble' base-pairing, i.e. permitting non-standard base-pairing at the 3rd anti-codon position. The record is from RNAcentral. Lineage: Bacteria; Candidatus Microgenomatota.